RNAcentral lists this ribosomal RNA (362 nucleotides) under uncultured soil bacterium. RNAcentral describes it as "bacterial SSU rRNA". It matches the Rfam family "Bacterial small subunit ribosomal RNA", at positions 26 to 371 of the family's 1533-position model. The record is from RNAcentral.
AGAUUGAACGCUGGCGGCAGGCCUAACACAUGCAAGUCGAGCGGCAGCACGGGUACUUGUACCUGGUGGCGAGCGGCGGACGGGUGAGUAAUGCCUAGGAAUCUGCCUGAUAGUGGGGGAUAACGCUACGGAAACGGACGCUAAUACCGCAAUACGUCCUACGGGAGAAAGCGAGGGACCUUCGGGCCUUGCGCUAUCAGAUGAGCCUAGGUCGGAUUAGCUAGUUGGUGGGUAAUGGCUCACCGAAGGCGACGUAUCCGUAACUGGUCUGAGGAGGAUGAUCAAGUCAACUACGUAGGAACUAGAGACCACGGGUACCAAGACCUCCGUACGGGGAGCCAGCAGGUGGGAAUAGUUGGAAC